This is a long non-coding RNA of Xenopus laevis (African clawed frog), 441 nucleotides long. RefSeq lists it as uncharacterized. The transcript is spliced from 3 exons. Lineage: Eukaryota; Metazoa; Chordata; Amphibia; Anura; Pipidae. The record is from RefSeq and is a predicted model, not a curated record.
AAAAGAUGCACAGUGUUAGUAGGUCUGUAGUACAAUUGUGAUCUCCUUUCUCUCAGCAGAUUACAUCCAAGGAUCAGCAAUGUCGGCCAAAGGAGGCAGCCAUCAAUCAAAGGACCCAUGUGUCCCAGUACAGCCCACCCCCUGUGUUGAAGUACCAACAUGCCAGGACCCUUGUGUGAUUUCUGACCCUUGUCAAACACAAAGUCAUGGGCCUGGUGCUCAAGUCACCUAUAGUGGAGGCUGUCAGACACAAAGCCAAGGUCAUCAACAGCAUCAUGGAGGCGGUUCAGCCAAGAAAUGAAGAAAUUAAUGUUUAACUGCAUUGAUCUAUCUCCUCAAAUCUCAAUCAAAAUUAAAAAUCUGUUCACCAAUCAGCAUGCUACCAUGUAUCUCAAAUAACAAAUGAUUUUUUCGAAUCAAUUAAACAUUCCCCUGCUGAAA